GACGAACGCUGGCGGCGUGCUUAACACAUGCAAGUCGAACGGAAAGGCCCUUCGGGGUACUCGAGUGGCGAACGGGUGAGUAACACGUGGGUGAUCUGCCCUGCACUUUGGGAUAAGCCUGGGAAACUGGGUCUAAUACCGAAUAGGACUACGCUCUUCAUGGGGUGUGGUGGAAAGCUUUUGCGGUGUGGGAUGGGCCCGCGGCCUAUCAGCUUGUUGGUGGGGUAAUGGCCUACCAAGGCGACGACGGGUAGCCGGCCUGAGAGGGUGACCGGCCACACUGGGACUGAGAUACGGCCCAGACUCCUACGGGAGGCAGCAGUGGGGAAUAUUGCACAAUGGGCGCAAGCCUGAUGCAGCGACGCCGCGUGAGUGAAGAAGGCCCUCGGGUUGUAAAGCUCUUUUGUCCGGAAAGAAAAGCAAUCGGUUAAUACCCGGUUGUUCUGACGGUACCGGAAGAAUAAGCACCGGCUAACUUCGUG
RNAcentral lists this ribosomal RNA (482 nucleotides) under uncultured bacterium. Its description in RNAcentral is "bacterial SSU rRNA". It matches the Rfam family "Bacterial small subunit ribosomal RNA", at positions 28 to 507 of the family's 1533-position model. The record is from RNAcentral.